CCUACGGGUGGCAGCAGUGAGGAAUAUUGGUCAAUGGACGCAAGUCUGAACCAGCCAAGCAGCGUGCAGGAUGACGGCCCUACGGGUUGUAAACUGCUUUUGUACGGGGAUAAAGUGAGACACGUGUGCCUGUCUGAAUGUACUUUAUGAAUAAGGAUCGGCUAACUCCGUGCCAGCAGCCGCGGUAAUACGGAGGAUCCGAGCGUUAUCCGGAUUUAUUGGGUUUAAAGGGAGCGUAGAUGGUCGGUUAAGUCAGUGGUGAAAGCCUGCGGCUCAACUGCGAAAUUGCCAUUGAUACUGGUAGGCUUGAGUGUAGUUGCGGUAGGCGGAAUGUAUGGUGUAGCGGUGAAAUGCUUAGAGAUCAUGCAGAACACCGAUUGCGAAGGCAGCUUACCAAGCUGCUACUGACAUUGAGGCACGAAAGUGUGGGGAGCAAACAGGAUUAGAUACCCCUGUAGUC
RNAcentral lists this ribosomal RNA (460 nucleotides) under uncultured bacterium. RNAcentral describes it as "partial 16S ribosomal RNA". It matches the Rfam family "Bacterial small subunit ribosomal RNA", at positions 338 to 795 of the family's 1533-position model. The record is from RNAcentral.